UAAGGAAUAUUGGUCAAUGGACGCAAGUCUGAACCAGCCAUGCCGCGUGAAAGAUGAAGGUCCUCUGGAUUGUAAACUUCUUUUAUCUGGGACGAAAACGGGCUUUUUAUCUCAAUUGACGGUACCAGAGGAAUAAGCACCGGCUAACUCCGUGCCAGCAGCCGCGGUAAUACGGAGGGUGCGAGCGUUAUCCGGAUUUACUGGGCGUAAAGGGCGCGUAGGCGGCGCGGUAAGUCACUUGUGAAAUCUCUGAGCUUAACUCAGAACGGCCAAGUGNUACUGCUGUGCUAGAGUGCGGAAGAGGCAACCGGAAUUCUUGGUGUAGCGGUGAAAUGCGUAGAUAUCAAGAGGAACACCUGAGGCGAAGGCGGGUUGCUGGGCCGACACUGACGCCGAUGCGCGAAAGCCAGGG
RNAcentral lists this ribosomal RNA (412 nucleotides) under uncultured bacterium. RNAcentral describes it as "bacterial SSU rRNA". It matches the Rfam family "Bacterial small subunit ribosomal RNA", at positions 355 to 765 of the family's 1533-position model. The record is from RNAcentral.